Long non-coding RNA from Mauremys mutica (yellowpond turtle), 767 nucleotides. RefSeq lists it as uncharacterized. The record is from RefSeq and is a predicted model, not a curated record. Lineage: Eukaryota; Metazoa; Chordata; Testudines; Geoemydidae. The transcript has 3 exons.
GGGUUGAGUCCCAGCACACCUCAAGAGCAAAUGGAGUCUGCUUUGAUAGUUCCCAUGGUUCAGGAGGAUGAUAAUGAUUGAAGAGAAGGGGAGCUGCGGUUGACUAUUGAGGCACUCCAGGAAACAGUGGAAGAAGGUCUGACAAGGUGCUCUUGUAAGAAACCCUUUGAAAAUGAUGAAGGAGGAGGAGUGUGGAGAAGACAAAGCGUCAAAACGGCAGAGUUUGAGUUGAGCCAUUAAAAGUCAAAGAAAGUGUUUGUGUGUUUUGAGGGCAUGGAGAAAAGGAUGGACACCAGUAGAUGUCAUUGGACUGGAGAUGGAGGUGAAUGGAGCAGCUGCCCCAGGUUACUGCUGCGUGUGAUGUCUAAUGUAAUUUGCUCACAUGAGGGGCUUGAAGCUCCAGAAUUCAGGAGGACUUUUUUGACAAAACCUGUAACUUCAGCAAGUCCCUAUCCCGUUUCUGACUUCAGAGCAAAGGGCAGGAGUCACUAUAGGUAUUGCGGCCACCUACACAUGAGAGCGGAUUAAACACAAAAACCUGUUUGAGAGGAACAUUUUGAAGUGCUUUUUGUUUCCAAGUUGCUGAAAGAGAUCCAUUUUUUUACUUUUUUUUUUUUUUGAAAAAAAAAUCAGAUAUUUUUAUUUAAAAAGAAAAUGAAAGUCAUGGGCAUUUUUUGAAAACCUGAAACCAAACAGACUAGAUUGAACAAAAGGGAGAGAGAGUAGAAGGGAAAUGAACAGUCACGGCAAGCAAAGACUAAAUAAGU